RNAcentral lists this ribosomal RNA (520 nucleotides) under bacterium btn 2k-3.6. Its description in RNAcentral is "bacterial SSU rRNA". It matches the Rfam family "Bacterial small subunit ribosomal RNA", at positions 335 to 865 of the family's 1533-position model. The record is from RNAcentral.
ACUCCUACGGGAGGCAGCAGUGGGGAAUAUUGCACAAUGGGCGGAAGCCUGAUGCAGCGACGCCGCGUGAGGGAUGACGGCCUUCGGGUUGUAAACCUCUUUCAGUAGGGAAGAAGCGAAAGUGACGGUACCUGCAGAAGAAGCGCCGGCUAACUACGUGCCAGCAGCCGCGGUAAUACGUAGGGCGCAAGCGUUAUCCGGAAUUAUUGGGCGUAAAGAGCUCGUAGGCGGUUUGUCGCGUCUGCCGUGAAAGUCCGGGGCUCAACUCCGGAUCUGCGGUGGGUACGGGCAGACUAGAGUGAUGUAGGGGAGACUGGAAUUCCUGGUGUAGCGGUGAAAUGCGCAGAUAUCAGGAGGAACACCGAUGGCGAAGGCAGGUCUCUGGGCAUUAACUGACGCUGAGGAGCGAAAGCAUGGGGAGCGAACAGGAUUAGAUACCCUGGUAGUCCAUGCCGUAAACGUUGGGCACUAGGUGUGGGGGACAUUCCACGUUUUCCGCGCCGUAGCUAACGCAUUAAGU